CCUACGGGAGGCAGCAGUGAGGAAUAUUGGUCAAUGGACGAGAGUCUGAACCAGCCAAGUAGCGUGAAGGAUGACUGCCCUAUGGGUUGUAAACUUCUUUUAUAUGGGAAUAAAACAGGGUAUGCAUACCCUCUUGUAUGUACCAUAUGAAUAAGGAUCGGCUAACUCCGUGCCAGCAGCCGCGGUAAUACGGAGGAUCCGAGCGUUAUCCGGAUUUAUUGGGUUUAAAGGGAGCGUAGGUGGAUUGUUAAGUCAGUUGUGAAAGUUUGCGGCUCAACCGUAAAAUUGCAGUUGAAACUGGCAGUCUAGAGUACAGUAGAGGUAAGCGGAAUUCGUGGUGUAGCGGUGAAAUGCGUAGAUAUCAGGAAGAACACCGAUGGCGAAGGCAGCUCACUGGACUGCAACUGACACUGAUGCUCGAAAGUGUGGGGAGCAAACAGGAUUAGAUACCCGUGUAGUC
This 460-nucleotide ribosomal RNA is filed under the name uncultured bacterium. RNAcentral describes it as "partial 16S ribosomal RNA". It matches the Rfam family "Bacterial small subunit ribosomal RNA", at positions 338 to 795 of the family's 1533-position model. The record is from RNAcentral.